Small nucleolar RNA from Sipha flava (yellow sugarcane aphid), 65 nucleotides. NCBI's taxonomy places the organism in Eukaryota, Metazoa, Arthropoda, Insecta, Hemiptera, Aphididae. The record is from RefSeq and is a predicted model, not a curated record.
AAUAAUUAUGAUGAUUUUAUACCGCCCCAGACUGAAUUUCGUGUUGAAGGUUUAAUCUGAAUAUA